AGCGUAGACGGCAAGGCAAGUCUGAUGUGAAAACCCAGGGCUUAACCCUGGGACUGCAUUGGAAACUGUCUGGCUCGAGUGCCGGAGAGGUAAGCGGAAUUCCUAGUGUAGCGGUGAAAUGCGUAGAUAUUAGGAGGAACAUCAGUGCGAAGGCGGCUUACUGGACUGAAACUGACACUGAGGCACGAAAGCGUGGGAAGGCAAACCAG
This 209-nucleotide ribosomal RNA is filed under the name uncultured bacterium. RNAcentral's name for it is "partial 16S ribosomal RNA". It matches the Rfam family "Bacterial small subunit ribosomal RNA", at positions 568 to 776 of the family's 1533-position model. The record is from RNAcentral.